UGCGUAACGCGUGAGCAACCUACCUCUAUCACGGGGAUAGCCUCUCGAAAGAGAGAUUAACACCGCACAGUAUAAUGUACCGGCAUCGGGAAAUUAUUAAAUAUUUAUAGGAUAGAGAUGGGCUCGCGUGACAUUAACUAGUUGGUAGGGUAACGGCUUACCAAGGCGACGAUCUCUAGGGGCUCUGAGAGGAGAAUCCCCCACACUGGUACUGAGACACGGACCAGACUCCUACGGGAGGCAGCAGUAAGGAAUAUUGGUCAAUGGGCGGAAGCCUGAACCAGCCAUGCCGCGUGCAGGAUGACUGCCCUAUGGGUUGUAAACUGCUUUUGUCCAGGAAUAAACCUAGAUACGUGUAUUUAGCUGAAUGUACUGGAAGAAUAAGGAUCGGCUAACUCCGUGCCAGCAGCCGC
Molecule: ribosomal RNA, 413 nt
Filed under: uncultured Sphingobacterium sp.
Lineage: Bacteria; Pseudomonadati; Bacteroidota; Sphingobacteriia; Sphingobacteriales; Sphingobacteriaceae
Description: bacterial SSU rRNA
Rfam family: Bacterial small subunit ribosomal RNA
Source: RNAcentral